This 279-nucleotide ribosomal RNA is filed under the name Triticum aestivum (bread wheat). RNAcentral's name for it is "partial small subunit ribosomal RNA". The record is from RNAcentral. Lineage: Eukaryota; Viridiplantae; Streptophyta; Magnoliopsida; Poales; Poaceae.
AUGUGGGCGGGGUCGGCCGUGGAGGGAGACUUGCUGGUCGGAGCAGCAGGAGCAAGAAGGUUGAGGCGGUUCAGAUCUCUAGACAUGGGUCUUUUUGUCCAUAUACUGAACUAUGAAGUUGGCAAGACAAGAACAUUUAGUUGGAUCCAGAGUAUUGAGAUUGCAGAGGACUCAACAAAGGGUCUGCACUUAUUCUACAAAUUCAGUAUCACGUUAGUGCCUCUGUUUAGUGAUUAUAUAGAACUACCUUUUGAACUUGCAGAAAUUGAAUGCAUAUAA